UACAGAGGUCCCAAGCGUUGUUCGGAUUCAUUGGGCGUAAAGGGUGCGUAGGCGGCGCGGUAAGUCGGGUGUGAAAUCUCGGGGCUUAACUCCGAAACUGCAUUCGAUACUGCCGUGCUUGAGGACUGGAGAGGAGACUGGAAUUUACGGUGUAGCGGUGAAAUGCGUAGAUAUCGUAAGGAAGACCAGUGGCGAAGGCGGGUCUCUGGGACGUGACUGACGCUGAGACGCGAAAGCGUGGGGAGCAAACAGG
This 253-nucleotide ribosomal RNA is filed under the name uncultured bacterium. RNAcentral's name for it is "partial 16S ribosomal RNA". It matches the Rfam family "Bacterial small subunit ribosomal RNA", at positions 524 to 776 of the family's 1533-position model. The record is from RNAcentral.